CCAGACUCCUACGGGAGGCAGCAGUAGGGAAUCUUCGGCAAUGGGGGGAACCCUGACCGAGCAACGCCGCGUGAGUGAAGAAGGUUUUCGGAUCGUAAAGCUCUGUUGUUAAGGAAGAACGAGUGUGAGAAUGGAAAGUUCAUACUGUGACGGUACUUAACCAGAAAGGGACGGCUAACUACGUGCCAGCAGCCGCGGUAAUACGUAGGUCCCGAGCGUUGUCCGGAUUUAUUGGGCGUAAAGCGAGCGCAGGCGGUUAGAUAAGUCUGAAGUUAAAGGCAGUAGCUCAACCAUUGUAGGCUUUGGAAACUGUUUAACUUGAGUGCAGAAGGGGAGAGUGGAAUUCCAUGCGUAGCGGUGAAAUGCGUAGAUAUAUGGAGGAACACCGGUGGCGAAAGCGGCUCUCUGGUCUGUAACUGACGCUGAGGCUCGAAAGCGUGGGGAGCGAACAGGAUUAGAUACCCUGGUAGUCCACGCCGUAAACGAUGAGUGCUAGGUGUUAGGUCCUUUCCGGGACUUAGUGCCGCAGCUAACGCAUUAAGCACUCCGCCUGGGGAGUACGACCGCAAGGUUGAAACUCAAAGGAAUUGACGGGGGCCCGCACAAG
Molecule: ribosomal RNA, 607 nt
Filed under: uncultured bacterium
Lineage: Bacteria
Description: bacterial SSU rRNA
Rfam family: Bacterial small subunit ribosomal RNA
Source: RNAcentral